GUGCUCGCUUCAGCAGCACAUACACUAAAAUUGGAACAAUAUAGAGAAGAUUAGCAUGGUCCCUGCGCAAGGAUGACACGCAAAUUCGUGAAGUGUUCCAUAUUAAA
RNAcentral lists this small nuclear RNA (107 nucleotides) under Marmota marmota marmota (Alpine marmot). The record is from RNAcentral. Lineage: Eukaryota; Metazoa; Chordata; Mammalia; Rodentia; Sciuridae.